GUUGGUGCCUAUGGCAGUGAGGUUCCACCCGUUCCCAUCCCGAACACGGUAGUUAAGCUCACUCGCGCUGACAAUACUUGGAUGGUGACGUCCCGGGAAGAUAAGUCGGUGCCAACA
RNAcentral lists this ribosomal RNA (117 nucleotides) under Oscillospiraceae bacterium. Lineage: Bacteria; Bacillati; Bacillota; Clostridia; Eubacteriales; Oscillospiraceae. The record is from RNAcentral.